GACCUGCUCAGUGAUAAUGAAUUAUUAAAUAGCCGCAGUAUUCUGACUGUGCGAAGGUAGCAUAAUCAUUUGUCUUUUAAUUGAAGGCUUGUAUGAAUGGUUGGAUGAGGGACUGACUUUCUUUAUGUUAAAUUUAGAAUUUAAUUUCUAGGUUAAAAAGCUUAGAUGAUUUAAUGGGACGAGAAGACCCUAUAGAAUUUCAUUGUUUAUACUUUAUUUAAUUAUUGGUGUUUAUUAAAAUUAUUUAUGGUAUGAAUAAUUUUGUUGGGGUGACAGGGGGAUUUAUCUAACUCCCCUUAAUUAUUUAAUACUUAUGGGUAUAUAUAAAGAUCCUGUAUUAUGGAUAUUAAGAUUAAAUUACCUUAGGGAUAACAGCGUAAUUUCUUUGGAGAGUUCUUAUCGAUGAAGGAGUUUGCGACCUCGAUGUUGGAUUAAAAUGAGUUUUAAGUGUAGAAGCUUAAUUUCUGGGUCUGUUCGACCCUUAAUUUUUUAC
Molecule: ribosomal RNA, 493 nt
Filed under: Rhynchocoris humeralis
Lineage: Eukaryota; Metazoa; Arthropoda; Insecta; Hemiptera; Pentatomidae
Description: partial large subunit ribosomal RNA
Rfam family: Archaeal large subunit ribosomal RNA
Source: RNAcentral